AAAGGUCGGGAGCGGGGCCUUAACCCUAGAAUCGGAUCGGGCGACGAGAAGGGAGGCGAAGGAGGCAGCCAUCGGCUGCGGAUUCGCGAGUUCCUCCUCUUCCAUCUUCUAUUUGGUUUCCUUUUCCCUUUCUCAUGUGCGAAUAUUUGUGGUUUGUUUUUGUGUAUAUGUUGGAUGAUUUGGUGGCCGGGGUCAUUUGGGUUGACAGAAGAGAGUGAGCACACAGCGGGCGGUGGCAUCGAUCCGCGGGAUGCCGUCGCUGUUGCGUGCUCACUCCUCUCUCUGUCAUCCCUGUCUCCCUGGCGUUGCCUGCAGAGAGAGAUGCGCUACCUUAUGUUGGUCAUUACGCUGACGCUGUUUGGUGUGGAAGUGGUAAUAGGAAAGCGAGGCUGUGUGAGUUCAUGGCGGACACGCGUGCAAGAGAAGGCUUCUUCUUUUCCUCCGCCUCCCUCGCCUCGAAUCCCGAUCCUCUCUUAAGUUAUGCCGUUCUUUAGAUCCACUUGUCGCCGAUCUGUCUCUUCUCAUUCGGUUUCCGUUUUGGAGGGUGGGUUAAAGUUGGGCCUUUGGAAUGCGAGUGGCGGAAGAGAUCAAGAAAGGAUUAUAAAAACCCGACCUUGAUGGUGCGUGGAAGCGUGGCUUUUGAGAUGGUGAUUGUUUCAGCUGGGCGGCGAAGUACACAAUGCCAUCCCCAUCUGUAUCGUCUGCCUAUUGUGUGGAUGUAACUUUAGUCACUGUGGUCUUCUUCUCCCUCCCUUCCCCCUCCUCUCCUCCUCCACUCAUUUUCCUUCUUUCUCUUCCUUUCCCUUCUAUUCCUUAUCGCUGAGACGUUGAUGUUGGGCGGUGACCACAGUCUCCGACGAAGCAUGGGUAGUUUCUUCCCAAUAUCCUUGUUGACCCUUCUCUUACCUAGUUCCUAUCUCCUCUCUCUUUUUGUUUGCUUUUCGUUUCCUCCUCCUCCAUCUUUGGGGCUCUCAAGUCGGUCACAUUUAUUGGACUUAUCUCACUUUCCCAUAGAUACCUUUCUUGUUCAUCUGAUUUGCAUUGGAUUUUCGACAUUGUUAAUCCCUCCUUAUCUGAUCGUGAUCCUCAUCAGCUUUUGUUCUCGAGUUAUAUCGUGCAGUUAAAAUUUUGCUUCCCGCAUGCAUUAAAACCACCGUUGACUUGUGCUCCAGUCUCUUGAUGGAGCUCGGAUGUAUUGCGGAUGCUACACAAAGACCUCGGUAAGUCAGAUUUCGUCGUGUUCGACGUUCUACAUCAUUUCUUAGUGGAAAAGCAACUCGAGGAAAGAGUUGUCUGCUUUUAUGUUCAUGCGAUGGAGAGAAACUGAAUUAGAUCGAGAGUGGCCGGACAGACCACUGCCGCAGACUCUUUCUUUCAGUGUUCCACAAAGAAUCUUGCUUUCCUGCAUGAUCCCAUUCAUUUUGUCCAGAAAACCUGUGACUUAUUUGUGUACAGAUGAUAUUAAGCUCUCUUUCCUUUUCAGUAUGGCUGAUCAAAAAUUAUUUUUUUACCGCUUUUGGGGUAUUUGACUAAUUCAUUUGUAGUAAUUGUGUAUAAGGGACAUGGAAAAACUUUGGGGUGAGAAAUUGACAUCUAACAUGUGAGGAUCUUAAUGUUUGAUCUUUUUCGCUAUCUGAAAAA
This is a non-coding RNA of Musa acuminata subsp. malaccensis (wild Malaysian banana), 1641 nucleotides long. Lineage: Eukaryota; Viridiplantae; Streptophyta; Magnoliopsida; Zingiberales; Musaceae. The record is from RefSeq and is a predicted model, not a curated record.